RNAcentral lists this long non-coding RNA (355 nucleotides) under Salvia miltiorrhiza (redroot sage). Its description in RNAcentral is "long non-coding RNA (SMIL_LNC010020)". Lineage: Eukaryota; Viridiplantae; Streptophyta; Magnoliopsida; Lamiales; Lamiaceae. The record is from RNAcentral.
CCACAAACAAUUCCAAUGAAGAACACAUAAAACUCAAUCUCAGCAAAAUCAAUAGAACAAAGUGCAAAAUCAACAGACAAUUCCAAACACCACAAAUUCAACCAAAAUGCAACAAAAAAAAUCCAAUCUUUAUCUCUUCAAAGCUUCGAAGCUUCAUCCCCUCCGUGAGCGUUCUGAAGCCAAGAUCCGCCCUGAGAUUUGCAGAGAUCGGUGUUUUGGGGCUGGGGUUGCGUGGCUGAUUUGCAGAGAUUGGUGCGACCGCUGGGGAGGCGGUUCGUUCGCGAAAUUUGGGAGCGGUCGCGGGUUUUGCACUCGGCCGCUGCAAAUCGGGCACCGGCACUACGAGCUCGACUCG